GUCUGGUCCCUUGCCUUCCUACCAACAUCUACAUAACUUACACAUGCAAGUAUCCGCACACCCGUGAGAACACCCUUAAACCUCCUCAGGUCAAGGAGCUGGUAUCAGGCACAGAUAACUCUAGCCCAUUACACCUAGCAUAGCCACACCCUCAAGGGUAUUCAGCAGUGAUAAACAUUGAUUAUAAGUGAAAACUUGACUCAGUUAUAGUAUUAAGAGCCGGCCAAUUCGGUGCCAGCCGCCGCGGCUACACCGCGAGACUCAAGUUGUUAGACACCGGCGUCAAGCGUGGUUUAAGAUACCCCAAUCUAGAGCUAAACUCCCCAUCAUGCAGUGAUAUGCUGAUCUCUAAGAAACCCAUGAACGAAAGUCACUCUAAAACUAAACUUGAAUCCACGAUAGCUAAAAUACAAACUGGGAUUAGAUACCCCACUAUGCUUAGCUGUAAAAUAUUUAAUUACACUUAAAACGCCAGAGAAUUACGAGCACAAGCUUAAAACUCAAAGGACUUGACGGUGUCCCAUCUACCUAGAGGAGCCUGUUCUAUAAUCGAUACUCCCCGAUUUACCUUACCACUUUUAGCCUAUCAGCCUGUAUACUUCCGUCGUAAGCUUACCAUAUGAAUGUUAGUGAACAAAAAGGUCUAUACACCCAAACGUCAGGUCAAAGUGCAGCCAACAAAGUGGCAAGAAAUGGGCUACAAUUUCUAAUUCUAGAACAUACGAAAAACCAUAUGAAAACUGGUCACGAAGGCGGAUUUAGUAGUAAGGGGAAAACAGAACGUUCCCCUUAAAUAUGCCCUGGGACGUGUACACACCGCCCGUCACCCUCUUCUAUUUUACUUCACAUGUUAAUUAACACCACUUUCUCAAAUAAGAAGAGGCAAGUCGUAACACGGUAAGCAUACUGGAAAGUGUGCUUGGACACCAAAAUGUAGCUUAACUUAAAGCCUCUCACUU
This 959-nucleotide non-coding RNA is filed under the name Phlyctimantis leonardi (olive striped frog). RNAcentral's name for it is "partial 12S ribosomal RNA". The stretch from base 88 to 935 matches the Rfam family "Bacterial small subunit ribosomal RNA". Lineage: Eukaryota; Metazoa; Chordata; Amphibia; Anura; Hyperoliidae. The record is from RNAcentral.